Molecule: long non-coding RNA, 366 nt
Filed under: Mytilus galloprovincialis (Mediterranean mussel)
Lineage: Eukaryota; Metazoa; Mollusca; Bivalvia; Mytilida; Mytilidae
Source: RNAcentral
AGAAAUUAAAAUUUUAAAGUUCUUAAAAGACACUUGUUAACAAAAUAAAUACAUUUUAAAAUCUGCCAAUGUUGUAAGAAUGUAAGUACGUAAAAUAACAAGUAAAUUAUAAGUAAAAGAGUUAAAUAAACAAAAUAUGUCUAAGAUAAGAAUCAGAAAACACAUAAGGGGCGAUAAGUAGUCUGGAGUUUGACUAAACCAGACAAUACCGAAAACUAAAUAAUGACUUAUGCGAGUAAAAGAAAUACAAAAUCUGCACAGAAAACAUAAGAAUAAAUACAGAAAUUAAAAAAAAAAAAAAGAACUGCGAUGAAAAUUCUAAACGUAAUGUUCCUAACCAAAUUGUAAAAUCGACAGCUCCAACAC